RNAcentral lists this transfer RNA (72 nucleotides) under Trichonephila clavata. It matches the Rfam family "tRNA". From Rfam's summary of the family: Transfer RNA (tRNA) molecules are approximately 80 nucleotides in length. Their secondary structure includes four short double-helical elements and three loops (D, anti-codon, and T loops). Lineage: Eukaryota; Metazoa; Arthropoda; Arachnida; Araneae; Nephilidae. The record is from Rfam by way of RNAcentral.
GUUCCUGUAGCACAAUGGAUAGUGCAUUGGACUUUUAAUCCAAAGGUCGUAGGUUUAACCCUACCUGGGAUG